Non-coding RNA from Agrilus planipennis (emerald ash borer), 106 nucleotides. NCBI's taxonomy places the organism in Eukaryota, Metazoa, Arthropoda, Insecta, Coleoptera, Buprestidae. The record is from Rfam.
AGGUAGAGGGGUUUUAGUCGGUAGGUCCGAGGACUUCUUCCUCAGGAAUCCGACACUACCCAGUCGUACAGACGGCUGGGUGUCUUUUGAUGAUUUUCCCUCUUCC